UAAAAGCACUAUUUUACUGUAGGCAUUCCUGGACCAUGGAAUACUAGAGAGUCCUGAAAUGGUUGUUGCCCUGAUGCAAAAGAGUCCAGAUGGUGAUAUUAUAGAUUGUGUUUUGUCUCAUCAACAACCAACUUUUGACCAUCCUCAGUUGAAGGGACGAAAGCCAUUGGAAUAGGCCAAAAACUCAUAAAGAUCAUCCUAAUAGUACUAUGAUGAGGACUCAGGAGCUACCAAAAUAUUGAGUAUACUAACAGAAGCAAUAGCAAUUGGAAGAACAUUUGCAGCCAUGAAGGACUAUCAAAUUGAUGGCAACAAAGAAAUGGUGGCAUUAGGAACAAUGAACAUUGUUGGUUCUUUGAUCUCUUGUUAUGUAGCUACAGGUGAUCUAGUAAUAGUCGCUAAAAAUUAA
This is a long non-coding RNA of Humulus lupulus (European hop), 409 nucleotides long. RefSeq lists it as uncharacterized. NCBI's taxonomy places the organism in Eukaryota, Viridiplantae, Streptophyta, Magnoliopsida, Rosales, Cannabaceae. The transcript is spliced from 4 exons. The record is from RefSeq and is a predicted model, not a curated record.